UAAAAUUUUCUUUAACUUGUUGACUCACCUCCGUUUUUGGAUACCUGAUAAUUAUUUUAUUUAAAAACAUAAUCCUACAUAAAUUUGCACUUGAUUUUCUACAAUUUGUUUUCCAUGUGGGAGAAAAGCUAUGCUUUUAAACAUAUUCCAGUGAAAAUCUGCUAAGGCAGUAGACUUCUCAGCAUCUUGCUUCACUAAAUUAUGUCCAAUUUUAGGAGAGAAUGUGUAUGGAGUAGUCAGAACUAUAUCCAAUUAUUUAGUUUAAGCAGAUGUAACAGGUGCUUUGAUCAAAGAAAGCCGCCUUUGCUUUCCUCCAGUUUCACAUCGGUUGUACUUCAAAAAAAAAAAAGGUUUAGUAUUGAUAUAAAUUUCAUAAAGCUGAGGUAUUCAGAUUGAAUGAUAUCUCUUGUUUGUUUGCCUUUCUGUGACAUCAGCUAAGAUCAUCAGAUGUGUAUUCAGCAAUCCCAGUGAGAUGAAUUUUACACCAUGAGAUCUAUUUUAUUUUCCUGUGGCAUACUAUUCUCAUUUUCUUUGAAAUCCAUUGGUGUAUAUAUUUCCGUAAAUAUUUCUAAUUUAAACUCUGCCUUUCAUUGCCAAAAGAUAAUGAGAAGGCCUGUGUUUUACUCACAUGUUUCCUGAUGAUAUUGUGUUAGAAUACUUUAAAAUGCAUCAGGAUGAAUUUUAACUCAAUUGGCUAAAGCAUCAAAGAAUGUAUAUUAUGGACUCAAGAAAAGUUGGUUGCAGGAAAUGAAAGAUGUCAUCAUGAUACAUAGGCUUUCUCCAUCUCUUUUUCCUUUUUUCCUCCACGCUUUGCCCUGGUACCAACAAACUUACAUCUUCUCAGAGAUAUCUUUUCACUUAUAGCUCCUCCCAUGUGCCAGGCAAUGUUGAGCAGCACAAACAUCUCAGAUAUAUUGGUUACUGGGUAAGAAAAAAGAUACGGUAUAUCAAGAUAUCUCUGCUCAGCCUGGUAGCUACCAUAUCCUUUUUUCUUACCGAGUAACCGAUCUUUCAGCUGUUUUACAUAUUGAAUAGUGCUGAAGGAAGACAUCUAUGAUGAAAAGAUAAGGGAAGCUGCAGAAAAAAAUGAAAGUAACUGGGAAGUAAAAUCAAGGAGAGUUGUUUUGACUAGGCUCAUUUUUGCUCGAUGUUCCUUGUGAGGUGUUUAAAAGCCCUUUGCCAUCAGGCUAAGCUGAAUGAAAACUGUUCUUCUCUCCCCGACUCUUUUUCUUUGGCGUCUUACCUCAUCUGACCUUUACUGUACCCCAAAGGAAGUGAAGGAAUAUUUUAUUACAAGUUGAGACUUAGGGCCUGUUUCUGAUAGGAUCAAACACAAAGCAUAAAGACUUUCCGUAUUGUAUAUACUUCAUCAUCAUUCUACGGCACAGCCACAUGACUUCCUAGUCAUUGCUAUAUUCUAAUUUUGUGUCUCCUAUAUUGAGAAAUAAGCGAUAAGACAUAUAGUAAGGUACCUAUAAAGAAGGCACAUUAAAUUGAUACCUACUGCCAAUUUCCUGUGGAGCCCUGUUGAUGACGUGAAAGAGGAUGAGAAGGUAUUGGUAAAUUUCAGAAAACCCAACUCUAACAGCUAGGCAAAAUGAUAUUAGAAACAUACAUGUUCUCACAAUCCUAUUUCAAGUGACAGAAAAAGAAACCCUGUACUUUUUCAAGCAUGAUUUUAAUCAGGUUUUUAAAAAUUUUAGGUUAUGUAUGAUUUAUGUACUAAUACUUUAAGUUUUGCUCAUAUUAAAAAUAUAGAGCAAUGUUUUGGUGUAAAAGUAAAGUAGCUAUUAAAUAGAGAAUGUAUUUUUUUCUUUUUUAUUUUACCUUGCCCUUUUAAGAUUCCCUUAUAUUUAAUUCAGAUUGAACUCCUGUCAUAUGUUUAUUUGAUAGGGUCUGAUUCACAUUAUCUCCCUAGUGAAUGGAGGAACCAAGAGUGAGUGGGGAACUGCAAAACAGAGCUAUUAAAUUUAUAUUUACUGCUAAUCAUUUCAACUCCUGGCAGGCAGCCUAAUUGCAAGCACAAAGAGAAUGCUCAUGAGAAUCAUGGUCAUAUAACUUGUUCAGUGACUUUCACUAAGACACAUGGUUUGUGAAAGCUCCAGGUUUAUUGGGAGAGUAAAUAUUAUUGCAGCUUGAGUUUUCUUGUGCUGUUUCUAACUCAGGAUUUAUGAAAUAUAAUUUAAUGAAAUAUAUAAUUUAAAGAGAUGAGGUAAAAAUGUGAUUACUAUCUUCCCAUCCUGUCCUUUUGGGGCAGGCAGCAAUGCAUAAGGUCUUUAAAAGGCCAAAAACUAAUCUAGGGGUUUUUCUAUGCAUAGUUUCCAUUAAUGUUAAUGACUUUUUCUGGGCACAGUUUCUAUUAAUGUUAAUGAGAUGUUCUCUUGAAGAAAAGGGAUGAAGAAAGAAAAGAAAACUGUUCUCUCUUUAUUUGCUUCAAGUAUUUUCUGAUGUAGGCUUAGAAUAAAUGUCUAAUAAUGAAGUACACUGACUCCAAAGACAGAAAAUUAUUCACCUCCUAUUUUUGCUUCUAUUAUAUCUUACUUGCUUUUUUAAAAUUAUUUUUUCUAUAAAUCUCUAGGGAAUACGAUGACUAUAUCAGUUAUAUUAGCAGUACCAACAUUUUUCUCAACCAAAAAUCCCCAUUACAUUUAGUAUAUUCCAAUAAGAUUUUUAUUUUAUCUGCUGAAUUUUACCUGUACCCACCACUUAAACAGAGUGCAUGUUAUAAUGAUGGAGCAAUAGUUAAAUAUUAAGGGAAGGUGAAUUAUAGUCAGAAA
Sapajus apella (tufted capuchin) is the source of this 2777-nucleotide long non-coding RNA. RefSeq lists it as uncharacterized. The transcript has 2 exons. NCBI's taxonomy places the organism in Eukaryota, Metazoa, Chordata, Mammalia, Primates, Cebidae. The record is from RefSeq and is a predicted model, not a curated record.